RNAcentral lists this ribosomal RNA (867 nucleotides) under uncultured archaeon. RNAcentral describes it as "bacterial SSU rRNA". It matches the Rfam family "Archaeal small subunit ribosomal RNA", at positions 1 to 866 of the family's 1478-position model. The record is from RNAcentral.
UCGCCCUUUUCCGGUUGAUCCCGCCGGACCUGACUGCUAUCGGAUUGAUACUAAGCCAUGCGAGUCAUUGUAGCAAUACAAGGCAGACGGCUCAGUAACGCGUAGUCAAUCUACCCUAUGGACGGGAAUAACCUCGGGAAACUGAGAAUAAUGCCCGAUAGAACAUUAUGCCUGGAAUGGUUUAUGUUUCAAAUGAUUUAUCGCCAUAGGAUGGGACUGCGGCCUAUCAGUUUGUUGGUGAGGUAAUGGCCCACCAAGACUAUUACAGGUACGGGCUCUGAGAGGAGUAGCCCGGAGAUGGGUACUGAGACACGGACCCAGGCCCUAUGGGGCGCAGCAGGCGAGAAAACUUUGCAAUGUGCGAAAGCACGACAAGGUUAAUCCGAGUGGUUUCUGCUAAAGAAACCUUUUGUCAGUCCUAGAAACACUAACGAAUAAGGGGUGGGCAAGUUCUGGUGUCAGCCGCCGCGGUAAAACCAGCACCUCAAGUGGUCAGGAUGAUUAUUGGGCCUAAAGCAUCCGUAGCUCGUUUUGUAAGUUUUCGGUUAAAUCCAUGCGCUUAACGUAUGGGCUGCCGGGAAUACUGCAUAACUAGGAAGUGGGAGAGGUAGACGGUACUCGGUAGGAAGGGGUAAAAUCCUUUGAUCUAUUGAUGACCACCUGUGGCGAAGGCGGUCUACCAGAACACGUUCGACGGUGAGGGAUGAAAGCUGGGGGAGCAAACCGGAUUAGAUACCCGGGUAGUCCCAGCUGUAAACUAUGCAAACUCAGUGAUGCAUUGGCUUAUGGGCCAAUGCAGUGCUGCAGGGAAGCCGUUAAGUUUGCCGNCUGGGAAGUACGUACGCAAGUAUGAAACUUAAAGGAAUU